GGCCGGUUGGUGUAGUUGGUUAUCACGCAUCGCUCACACCGAUGAGGUCGCCAGUUCGAACCUGGCAUCGGUCA
Molecule: non-coding RNA, 74 nt
Organism: Monascus purpureus
Lineage: Eukaryota; Fungi; Ascomycota; Eurotiomycetes; Eurotiales; Aspergillaceae
Source: the annotation of a GenBank genome assembly